Molecule: long non-coding RNA, 2510 nt
Organism: Denticeps clupeoides (denticle herring)
Lineage: Eukaryota; Metazoa; Chordata; Actinopteri; Clupeiformes; Denticipitidae
Source: Ensembl
UAAAGCAUCCUGAGACCCUUCAUGUGUGGGGCUGCUUCUUAUCAAAGGGAGUGGGGCUCACUCACAAUGUACCCCAGAACAUGGCCAAGAAUAAAGAAUGGAACCAAAAACAUCCUCCGACAGCAACUUCUCCAAACCAUCCAAGAAAAGUGAGAACUAAGAGAACUAAGUCGAGGAACAAAACAUUGAAAUGGCCAGGAAGCUCCCGGACCUUAAUCCAAUGGAGAAUUUGUGGUCAAUCCUCAAGAGCAGUCAGUCAAGAUUUGGUCCAGAUGUUGAUUGACAGCAUGUCAGGGCUUAUCUCCUCUGUCUGGAUAACAUCCGUCUUGCAGCCAUGAGAAGUUUUGGCAUACUUUCUGAAUAAAAUAACUAUAGCUUCAGGUGUACCUACAAUUUUAAACAGUAGAAUGUUCGCCCAUAGCAGAAAACAUUGUAUAUCAUGUCACUCUGAUACAUUUCAGAUCAAAUGUACAAUGAUCAACCCCGCUGUAUGGGGUUGGAAUAGACCAGACCUAGAAAAUCUGUGGGGUGACCUGAAGAGGGCUGUGCACUUUUGUAAGGAAAAAUAAAUAUUGCAGUGUCAUGAUGUGCCAUUCUGAUAGACCUCUACCCAAGGGGAAUGCUUUAAAUGAAUCAGAAGUUUUUUUUUAAACAAAGUAUUGGCUUAAAAAAAAACAUUUCUACUGUGUUAAACUGUAUCUGUAGUUUUAUACAAUGGAAUGAUGCUCUGAAAUGGAAAACAUUGUGCAUGUGUAAUUGAGCAUUUCUGUAGAAUGUGUGCAAAACAUGUGGCAAUCUGAUAAAUAUGCUGUUAUCUUCUAAAGAAUAUGCUCCUACAAUUCCCACUGAUAUCCAGAUCACUAAAGGCCCUACAAUCCCUUGUACUCAACUCACCUGAACAGACUUCAUCAUCCACUUCACUGAUCAAUACAGCAGGAGUCGGGGGUGAGAAUGGUGUACUCUCAAACCUGCAAUAGAACUUGUUCAGAUCGUCUGCCAAUUGUUGAUUCUCCACAGUGCUGAGGGAUGGUGACUUGUAAUUGGUCUUUCAAGCUUUUCCACAUGGAGGCUGGGUUGCCAGAGGAGAACAGAGUUAGUUUUUGGAAUAAUUCUUCUUUAAUGCCCUCAUCUCCUUUUCCUGUGUGUAUUUGGCCUGUUGCCUCUCUCCCCAAUCCUGUGAGCAUCUGCUUUGGCCUGAUGGAGCCAGUUGAGUUUUGCAGUAAACCAUGGUUUGUCAUUGUAGAUUAAACAAGUCCUGCUAGUAAUGCACCUAUCCUCACAGAAACUGAUACUGAUAUGUUACGGUCUCUGUGAGCUCGUUCAAUAGUAAGGGGGUGGUGUCAAAGACAAACAACAAAACUGAUUUGAUCGCAUUAUUAUUUGUGUAUAAAGUCCCUUUUGACACCUUUGUGGCCAAAAUGCCCAAUUCACUUUAAUGGAAAUCACAUUGUACAGAGAAAAACAAUCUAGGGCUGCAACCACGAAUCGAUUAAAUAUAUUAAAAAAAUCUAUUAAAUCGAUAAAAAUCAAUUACAAAAAAAGUCGGCAACGAAUUUCAAGACCUGGACCUUGAAAUAAAUAAAUAAGAACACACACAGGCUCCACACACCUGCAAGUAACUCUUAGUUUACACCUGGUGGACACACAAUACCAUAACAUAAAAAAAUUAUUAUAUAAAAUCCUGAAAAUUGAAUGUUUCACCAUUUUGGAAAGGGCUCAAGUUUGCAUAAGUGAUUUAUGAAAUACUGAUGUAUGAGGAUUUUAUGGCAGAAUUUGGUGUAUUUUGGCCACAAGGAAGUCGAGAUGCAUUACACUACACAAAAAAUACAAAUGCAGUCAAAUAUUUUUUUAUGAAAAAAAAUCUGAAAAAAAAAUAUUGAUGUAUGAGGAUUUUAUGGCAGAUUCUGUGCAUGUUUAUUUUUGACCAGGAAAGCGUGAGGGUGCAAAACACAAACCCAGAAUAUGGAUGACAUCUAACGGUAAAAUUUAAGAAAAAAAAAAAAAAAAAGAUUUCUUAGAGAAAUUCAUGCCACAAGCUCAUGCACAGCCAUAAAAAAAGUGGGAAAAAUUAACAAAAAUGCCCGAUAGAAUCCUGCAAGACGGUACUAUACAUCUGUAGUUCCAGCCAGUGUGCAGGACUGUAAUAGAGAGGAGUAGCACAAGUUCAUGUGCUUCACUCUAUCUAAGAGGAUGGGGAGAUUUUGAUACUUGGAAUCAGGGCUGUUCCAUUUAUAAAUCUGGAAAUGAGAGGUUCAUCUGUUCCACCUCGACCAAAACCAACCCAUCCUCUCCACAGAACGUAUCCACCAAUACCAGUGAAGCGGUACCAGCCUUCAAUGAGGUUGGAAUCAGUCUCUUGCCAGCCAUGGAAAAAGAGAAGAAAUUAAGCCAGAAUUCUGUCAUGAGUCUGAGAAGUUUGUGGAUGGUGGACAGGCAUCUGGAAAAAAAUUAUAGCAUAAGACAGAAAUUUUCUAUGAAGAUCCAUGUGAAAAACCUCAAGUAUAAUCUAC